UGCCUACCCAGACGUGCGGGCAAGGUUCCCGUCUUUCUACGGCCUUAUUCGUGCCACGCCACUUAUUGAUGACCAGCUCAACGUUUACCUUUCCACGGUCAACACAGGCACCAUCUACAAACUCAGCCCUGGUGGGAGCUUCAUUUG
This 147-nucleotide non-coding RNA is filed under the name Gambierdiscus australes. The record is from RNAcentral. Lineage: Eukaryota; Dinophyceae; Gonyaulacales; Pyrocystaceae.